RNAcentral lists this long non-coding RNA (2761 nucleotides) under Ananas comosus (pineapple). RNAcentral describes it as "long non-coding RNA (ACOM_LNC027066)". The record is from RNAcentral. Lineage: Eukaryota; Viridiplantae; Streptophyta; Magnoliopsida; Poales; Bromeliaceae.
UUUUUGACAAACAACUUUAACUAAUAACUAAUUGAUACAUAAAAUAAAGUUUAUGAUACCACCAUAAUUUCAUUAAUUAAUAACUAAUUGAUACAUAGAAUAAAGUGUACGAUAUACCACUAUAAUUACAUGCAAACAAAUGCAUAUAUAACAUCUCUUUAAUAUUUUAUUACAUCAAAAUAAGUUCACAAAGCACACUGCAAUAAGUAGUCCCCAUGUGAAGCAAAUAAAAGACCCAAAGUCUGCUACUCAAGUGCAGCAUUCCUCACAAAGCCAGCAGCAGCAAAGUGCAGCAAGACUGCAUCAAGAAGAAAAAUAUACAAAUUAAUAUAAUAUUAUUAAAAAUAAAUGUAAAAAUAUUAUUUUCGACCGGUUUAAACUUUUAGAGAACAAUGGUUAUUUUAUUUAAUUUAAUAUACGGUAUCAAAGCAGAAGGUACUAAAUUCGAAUCACAACAGACUCCUAGUAUAAUUAAAUUUUUUCACAUUUAAUUCAGAUUUAUGUCAUGGGCCUAUUAAAAUAUUUCGAGCCUAGACAUGAGAAGGAGUGUUAGAUAUAAGCAUGCAAAUUAAAAUAUGAAAUUGAUGAAAUAAGAAACUUUAAGUUAUUAAAGAAAUAGUGUUUUAAUAAUAUCUAUAUUCAACGCUCUCCCUCUGAUCUAGCCUUGGAAUAUAUAUUUUAAUUAGCCAACAAAUGUUGAACUUAAAUAACGAGAAAAUUAAUCAAAACAAAGAGCCCAUGAUUACACUAAAAACUUAAGCCACCAGAAAAUAGUGUUUUAAUAUAUAUAUCACUACAACAAAAAGGUCUUAUAGCGAACUUUUUAAAUAUGUCGCGGUCAAAAAAAGUGCUGCUCUAAAUUACCAGACCUUUUAAAAAGUGUUGUAUUAGGUCCUAGUAUAGUGACAGGUUAAAAGAGUGUCGCUAUUACCUAAAAAAAGAUGCGGCUGAAUUUCCAACUACUUUAUUAAGUAUUGUAGCAAUGCCGGAACUAUACUCGUUGGCUGCGGUGGCGGAGGAGGACUAGAGGAAGGAUCUUUGUUUCUGAUUCAGUGGAUUGAUAAGGAGAGAAGGGGGGGAAUGGUAAUCGUCGAUUUUUCUUUUCUUUUUUUUUCUAUUUGUAAUCGGGCGAAUGGCAUGAAUGGUAUUGGUUGAGUAGAGUACCUUUUUGUUUUUAUUGAAUUGGGCUUUAUACUUCGCCAUUAGCAGGAUUUUUUUAAAAAUUUUGAUAUAAAUAGGACACUUAUAUAAAAGUAUCCCAAGCAUGGUGUCCCCUAUACUAAAUUCUGUUGUGUGAGUGUGUGUGUGUGUAUAUAUAUAAUAUAUAUUUAAUAUAUAUUCGGCGAAUACUAUUAAAUAGUAAACGCUCUUUGUGCUAUCAAGUUUUUAAGCCAAUUGAAUGAAAAUUUGUAGGAUAAGAUGAUAUAAGUCGGUUAGAAUUGAGUGGUCCCCCUAGGGUUGAGGGUCCCACUGGGUUAAGUAUUUAAUCAUGUUAAAAGAAAUAUGAAAAGAGUUGAUCCACAAUUAAAAAACUGUCGGCUAAUAAUGGAUUAUUGGCUACCUAAUAGUAAUACCCAUCCAACUCUAUAUAUAUAUUCAAAGAGUAUAUAUGUAUAUAUAUAUAUAUAUUUAUACACUUACCAUCCUUCAAUGAAGCCUUUCUCUCCUCUGUUCUUUGUUUCUGGCUUCAUUCCAGUUUGUGGUGGCUGCUCCUCAGCAGUUGGAUAACCUUCACAAUCACAGCAUAAAACAAAUCAAAAUAAAACUCAAAAGGAUUAUAAAAUAGAAUUCAUAGAGACCUAAACAUAAAAUAAAAGAUAUUUUGAAACUUCCCAAAAAAAUUGUUAUAGGAAAAGGGGAAUAUAGUUGGUUUCUAUUUUUGAAAUUUUAGAGAAAACUAUUUGUUGGUUUGGAAUUAGGAAAAAGUUUUUGAGUUCAAAUCUCACCGCACUCCUAUUUUCGUCAUAAAUACUAAAUUACCAGAGCUUCUAUUUUUGUGAUUCAAAAUCUCAUUUAGCUUUUCGCUACAGAAAAAUUUUUACCUUUUUCUCUUCAAUAUUUUAACAACUAUAAUAAUAUAUACUCAAAAACUUCUCUCUUUACGAUAAACAAAAGCACUAAAUUAGAUCUUCUACUUUUGAGACUUAAAAUUCCGUUCUUCUUCCUAUUACAAUAGACUCUUCAAUUCUUUGUCUCUACAUCAAGUGUUUUGCCAAAACAGGUUCUAAGAUCUAGAAAAAUUCAAAGCUGCUUUUAUAGUAUACAAAAAUAUUCAUUCUUUCUCUAAAAGCUUAAACUUGUAGAGAACAGUAUUUUUAACACGUAUUCAUACUCAAAACACACAUAGAUCUAGAGAGAGAGAGAGAGAGAAACCUGGUGGGGGUGGAGGCUGGUAAUUGUCCUUGUUGUCCAUGGCAGGGGAAUUGGCAGAGAACAAGAACUCAAAAAACUUCUUGAGAUGUUUCAGCAAAAAAUAGAACAGAAAAAAAAAAAACUCUGCUUCUUCAGAGAGAUGAUUCUUUAUCUAUCUUUAGGCCAUGGGCAUGUUUAUAUAACCACCAAAAGAAAGAGAGUCUCUUUCCAAGAAGGAGCCUAGUUGUGAAUGAAAAUGACAUUUGCCUCAUUAUUAUAUUUUAAUAAUGCUAAUCAAUCACCAACAACACUGAAUGAUCUGUAGAUAAACCUUCCUCAAAUAAAAAUAAAAAUAAAAAUAAAAAGGAAAAGAAAGAUCUGUAGAUAAACUUGAGAGAGCCUCCCUGUG